UACGUAGGUCCCGAGCGUUGUCCGGAUUUAUUGGGCGUAAAGGGAACGCAGGCGGUCUUUUAAGUCUGAUGUGAAAGCCUUCGGCUUAACCGGAGUAGUGCAUUGGAAACUGGGAGACUUGAGUGCAGAAGAGGAGAGUGGAACUCCAUGUGUAGCGGUGAAAUGCGUAGAUAUAUGGAAGAACACCAGUGGCGAAAGCGGCUCUCUGGUCUGUAACUGACGCUGAGGUUCUAAAGCGUGGGUAGCAAACAGG
Molecule: ribosomal RNA, 253 nt
Filed under: uncultured bacterium
Lineage: Bacteria
Description: partial 16S ribosomal RNA
Rfam family: Bacterial small subunit ribosomal RNA
Source: RNAcentral